GAUGAACGCUGGCGGCGUGCCUAAUACAUGCAAGUCGAGCGAACGGACGAGAAGCUUGCUUCUCUGAUGUUAGCGGCGGACGGGUGAGUAACACGGGGAUAACCUACCUAUAAGACUGGGAUAACUUCGGGAAACCGUAGCUAAUACCGGAUAAUAUUUUGAACCGGAUGGUUCAAAAGUGAAAGACGGUCUUGCUGUCACUUAUAGAUGGAACCGCGCUGCAUUAGCUAGUUGGUAAGGUAACGGCUUACCAAGGCAACGAUGCAUAGCCGACCUGAGAGGGUGAUCCGCCACACUGGAACUGAGACACGGUCCAGACUCCUACGGGAGGCAGCAGUAGGGAAUCUUCCGCAAUGGGCGAAAGCCUGACGGAGCAACGCCGCGUGAGUGAUGAAGGUCUUCGGAUCGUAAAACUCUGUUAUUAGGGAAGAACAUAUGUGUAAGUAACUGUGCACAUCUUGACGGUACCUAAUCAGAAAGCCACGGCUAACUACGUG
Molecule: ribosomal RNA, 497 nt
Filed under: uncultured bacterium
Lineage: Bacteria
Description: partial 16S ribosomal RNA
Rfam family: Bacterial small subunit ribosomal RNA
Source: RNAcentral